CGGAGUGUGGCGUAGUUUGGUAGCGUUUCUGAUUUGGGUUCAGAAGGUCGUAGGUUCAAAUCCUACCACUCCGA
Molecule: transfer RNA, 74 nt
Filed under: Candidatus Tremblaya phenacola PAVE
Lineage: Bacteria; Pseudomonadati; Pseudomonadota; Betaproteobacteria
Description: tRNA-Pro (TGG) (tRNA-Pro-TGG-1-1)
Rfam family: tRNA
About the family: Transfer RNA (tRNA) molecules are approximately 80 nucleotides in length. Their secondary structure includes four short double-helical elements and three loops (D, anti-codon, and T loops).
Source: RNAcentral